This is a non-coding RNA of Podarcis lilfordi (Lilford's wall lizard), 747 nucleotides long. The record is from the annotation of a GenBank genome assembly. Lineage: Eukaryota; Metazoa; Chordata; Lepidosauria; Squamata; Lacertidae.
CUCACAAUAGGUACAAUCCAGUACCAUUGAAAUGAUUUGUGGGUUUUCCAUUCAUUCGUGUUUAUCCCAUUUUUGUUACCUUGAAAGGCUUUAGUGUUUUUAUACAAUUUUUUGUGGUUUUAUAUGGCAGACACAUUGGGAGACAGAACAACAUGUCAAUCACAGUAAUCAGGUACAGUCUGCCUUUCUGUGCAGAGCUUCUGAAAAUUAAUGCACAUACAAUUGCUCCCUUUUAGACAAACAUAAUUAUCCUUCUCUCAAAAAUAUUUGAGAGAAAAAUAGAGUCGUGUUACUAAUGAAACCACGUCUACUCAGAUAGCAAAAAGACUGGGAAGUGCUGCUCUACCCAAUAUUUCUUGUUCUGAUCUAGGCGUGACACCUCUUUCAAAAAUUUAAUUGUUUAGAUUUUAAGCCCAUCCUCACCUCAGGGCCACUUUGCUUUCUUCCUCUUGCCCACCCUCUUUGAGGAAGCCCUAGGGCAAGUAGAUGGGGCAUGUCAUCCAUGAGUGUGAUGCCACUGGGGUCGAGGAACAGGAGGUGGCAAGCACCCACAAGUGGUUAGCAUCCAGCAGUGGUGAGCACUGGGUGCCAGGCAGCAGUGAUGGGCAGGAGAUGGGAGAUGGCCCCUGGCCCCUCCCUAGAACUUCGGGAGGAGAGUGAUUUGAUCAGUGCUAGCAAUGGUGUAGUGCAGUUGAAUGAACUGAACUACAGUGGUACCUCGGGUUAAGUACUUAAUUUGUUCCGGAG